Molecule: ribosomal RNA, 497 nt
Filed under: uncultured bacterium
Lineage: Bacteria
Description: partial 16S ribosomal RNA
Rfam family: Bacterial small subunit ribosomal RNA
Source: RNAcentral
GAUGAACGCUGGCGGCGUGCCUAAUACAUGCAAGUCGAGCGAACAGACGAGGAGCUUGCUCCUUUGACGUUAGCGGCGGACGGGUGAGUAACACGUGUAUAACCUACCUAUAAGACUGGGAUAACUUCGGGAAACCGGAGCUAAUACCGGAUAAUAUAUUGAACCGCAUGGUUCAAUAGUGAAAGACGGCGUUUCUGUCACUUAUAGAUGGAUCUGCGCCGUAUUAGCUAGUUGGUAAGGUAACGGCUUACCAAGGGAACGAUGCGUAGCCGACGUGAGAGGGUGAUAGGCCACAUUGGAAGUGAGCCACGGUCAAGACUCCUAAGGGAGGCAGCAGUAGGGUAUCGUACGCAAUGGGCGAAAGCAUGACGGAGUAACGGCGCGUGAGUGAUGAAGGUCUUCGGAUCGUAAAACCCUGUUACGAGGGAAGAACAAAUGUGUAAGUAAAUGUGCACGUCUUGACGGUAACUAAUAAGAAAGCAACGGCUAACUACGUG